UUCAUAAUGCUUGUAAAAUUCGUAAGAAAGAGUAUGGAGGUGAGGGAGGGACUGCAGAGGAGGAGGAGGAAAGGAGACGAUUAUCGUUUGUUUGUUUGAAAUGCCAUAAGGAAAAAAAUCAAAAGAAGGAAGAAGAAAAGAAAAAGAAAC
RNAcentral lists this non-coding RNA (150 nucleotides) under Ditylum brightwellii. The record is from RNAcentral. Lineage: Eukaryota; Bacillariophyta; Thalassiosirophyceae; Lithodesmiales; Lithodesmiaceae.